Molecule: long non-coding RNA, 654 nt
Organism: Tupaia belangeri chinensis (Chinese tree shrew)
Lineage: Eukaryota; Metazoa; Chordata; Mammalia; Scandentia; Tupaiidae
Exons: 3
Source: RefSeq, a predicted model, not a curated record
UUCGAGUCCUGGACCCAGUGACUUGACAUUCAUACCAGAAGUAACUCGGAAGAAAGCAGUGCCCUCCCAGAGGUCAGAUGGAAAUGUCAGCAAUGCUUGCCAGUAUCUCCAGAGAGUCACUGGUCUGGAGAUCAUGGUGCAGAAGGAGCAGACGAAACUAAAGGAAGGUAAACUCAAAAAGGCAAGAAGCUACAGAUAACAACUCAAAUGGCAGCCAGGAGCCAGAAGCCAGCUGAGGAGAAAAAGGAGUAUGUGUUUCCUGACUGUGAGUACUCGUCACUUCUCAUGAGUUGUGAUACUGCUUUGCGGUGAGGGAAGCUCCCCACCAGAUGGCACAUACUGGUGUUUGAGCAGGCGUGACUUCAUGCCGGAGAUGUGUGGAAGACACGUGUCAAGGAGGCAUUUUUAACAGAGAGAGAAAGACCUCUGUAGUGGCAGCGUUUACUUAUGACACACUGAACAAACUCAUACAGAACACCCCUUCUCCUUCCCCUCUACUUCCUUCCUGAGAGACCUGUUGUCUGGAGACAAGAGACAAUGGUUUGAACAAAGAGAAGACUUCAUGUUAAUAUUUCCUGGAGCUGAGCAGAGGCAGACAGAUCUUGUUCCAUUACAGAGAUAUAAGGAAAUGGGGUUGUUCCAAAAGCAAUAAAA